This 728-nucleotide ribosomal RNA is filed under the name Bacillus licheniformis. RNAcentral describes it as "bacterial SSU rRNA". It matches the Rfam family "Bacterial small subunit ribosomal RNA", at positions 95 to 807 of the family's 1533-position model. Lineage: Bacteria; Bacillati; Bacillota; Bacilli; Caryophanales; Bacillaceae. The record is from RNAcentral.
GCGGCGGACGGGUGAGUAACACGUGGGUAACCUGCCUGUAAGACUGGGAUAACUCCGGGAAACCGGGGCUAAUACCGGAUGCUUGAUUGAACCGCAUGGUUCAAUCAUAAAAGGUGGCUUUUAGCUACCACUUGCAGAUGGACCCGCGGCGCAUUAGCUAGUUGGUGAGGUAACGGCUCACCAAGGCGACGAUGCGUAGCCGACCUGAGAGGGUGAUCGGCCACACUGGGACUGAGACACGGCCCAGACUCCUACGGGAGGCAGCAGUAGGGAAUCUUCCGCAAUGGACGAAAGUCUGACGGAGCAACGCCGCGUGAGUGAUGAAGGUUUUCGGAUCGUAAAACUCUGUUGUUAGGGAAGAACAAGUACCGUUCGAAUAGGGCGGCACCUUGACGGUACCUAACCAGAAAGCCACGGCUAACUACGUGCCAGCAGCCGCGGUAAUACGUAGGUGGCAAGCGUUGUCCGGAAUUAUUGGGCGUAAAGCGCGCGCAGGCGGUUUCUUAAGUCUGAUGUGAAAGCCCCCGGCUCAACCGGGGAGGGUCAUUGGAAACUGGGGAACUUGAGUGCAGAAGAAGAGAGUGGAAUUCCACGUGUAGCGGUGAAAUGCGUAGAGAUGUGGAGGAACACCAGUGGCGAAGGCGACUCUCUGGUCUGUAACUGACGCUGAGGCGCGAAAGCGUGGGGAGCGAACAGGAUUAGAUACCCUGGUAGUCCACGCCGUAAAC